Molecule: long non-coding RNA, 462 nt
Filed under: Panax ginseng (ginseng)
Lineage: Eukaryota; Viridiplantae; Streptophyta; Magnoliopsida; Apiales; Araliaceae
Description: long non-coding RNA (PGIN_LNC002691)
Source: RNAcentral
UGAAAGGAAAUAAUAUCAUUUACGAGUAUUGAAAGAAAAUAACAUCAUUUACCUUAGUAGAAAACUAGAUAUGACUGGUAGAACAAAUAUUAUUCUGAGAAAAUCUUGCACCAUAAACUACACUCAAAGUAUCCUUAUUAAAAAAUACUCACAAUAUUGUAGUAGAAACAUUUAUGUUUUUGGUGUCUUUAGGAUGAAGGGAUAACCUCCCUUUUAUAGUGCAACACGGAAGAAAAAAAAUAAACAAACCUGCCUAAUUUUUCUCUACCAAACCUUCUCUUUCUUUGCCUAACUUUAUUUCUUUCUUUCUUUUAAUUGGUUAAAGGCCCAUAAUUUGGAAAUGAUUUGUAGGAGAAGGUUUUGCCACCAAUUAGGAAAUAAGAAUCGCACGAAAGUUUUUUGAAAAGUGAUUUCAAACUCAAUUUGUUAACAUCCUCCCCAUUUACUCACAUGCCAGGAAAC